AGAGUUUGAUCAUGGCUCAGAUUGAACGCUGGCGGCAGGCUUAACACAUGCAAGUCGAACGGUAACAUGAGUGCUUGCACUUGAUGACGAGUGGCGGACGGGUGAGUAAUGUAUGGGGAUCUGCCGAAUGGAUUGGGACAACAGUUGGAAACGACUGCUAAUACCGAAUAAUGUUGCGAGACCAAAGGGUGCUUACGGGCACUUGCCAUUUGAUGAACCCAUAUGAGAUUAGCUAGUUGGUGGGGUAAAGGCUCACCAAGGCGACGAUCUCUAGCUGGUCUGAGAGGAUGACCAGCCACACUGGAACUGAGACACGGUCCAGACUCCUACGGGAGGCAGCAGUGGGGAAUAUUGUACAAUGGGGGGAACCCUGAUGCAGCCAUGCCGCGUGUAUGAAGAAGGCCUUAGGGUUGUAAAGUACUUUCGGUGAUGAGGAAGUUAUGUGUGGGAUAAGCGCAUAUAAUUGACGUUAGUUACAGAAGAAGCACCGGCUAACUCCGUGCCAGCAGCCGCGGUAAUACGGAGGGUGCGAGCGUUAAUCGGAAUGACUGGGCGUAAAGGGCAUGUAGGCGGAUGAUUAAGUUAGGUGUGAAAGCCUCGGGCUCAACCUGAGAAUAGCAUUUAAAACUGGUCAUCUGGAGUACUGUAGAGGGAGGUAGAAUUCCACGUGUAGCGGUGAAAUGCGUAGAGAUGUGGAGGAAUACCGGUGGCGAAGGCGGCCUUCUGGACAGAUACUGACGCUGAGAUGCGAAAGCGUGGGGGAGCAAACAGGAUUAGAUACCCUGGUAGUCCACGCUGUAAACGAUGUCGAUUUGGAGUUUGUUGCCUAGAGUGAUGGGCUCCGAAGCUAACGCGAUAAAUCGACCGCCUGGGGAGUACGGCCGCAAGGUUAAAACUCAAAUGAAUUGACGG
Molecule: ribosomal RNA, 912 nt
Filed under: uncultured Gammaproteobacteria bacterium
Lineage: Bacteria; Pseudomonadati; Pseudomonadota; Gammaproteobacteria
Description: bacterial SSU rRNA
Rfam family: Bacterial small subunit ribosomal RNA
Source: RNAcentral